GACGAACGCUGGCGGCGUGCUUAACACAUGCAAGUCGAACGGCAAGGCCCUGGCUUUGUGGGGUGCUCGAGUGGCGAACGGGUGAGUAACACGUGAGUAACUUGCCCUUGACUUUGGGAUAACUUCAGGAAACUGGGGCAAUAACCGGUUAGGUGCACCUGCGGAAUGGGGGGGGCUGGAAAGCUUCGGCGGUUGGGGAUGGACUCGCGGCUUAUCCGCUUGUUGGUGGGGUAGUGGCUUACCAAGGCUUUGACGGGUAGCCGGCCUGAGAGGGUGACCGGCCACAUUGGGACUGAGAUACGGCCCAGACUCCUACGGGAGGCAGCAGUGGGGAAUAUUGCACAAUGGGCGGAAGCCUGAUGCAGCAACGCCGCGUUCGUGAUGACGGCCUUCGGGUUGUAAACCGCUUUCGCCUGUGACGAAGCGUGAGUGACGGUAAUGGGUAAAGAAGCACCGGCUAACUACGUG
This 468-nucleotide ribosomal RNA is filed under the name uncultured bacterium. RNAcentral describes it as "partial 16S ribosomal RNA". It matches the Rfam family "Bacterial small subunit ribosomal RNA", at positions 28 to 507 of the family's 1533-position model. The record is from RNAcentral.